CAGUUGCCUCGGCACUGUUUUUGGAGAGAUGCCAUGGAAAGAGGCUUCAUGCAACCUUCCCCAGCUCACUGAAUUAUGGCAUUGCCAUACAAGGCCUGUGUGAGAGCAUUGCAGCAGACUGGGACAAGGUGAACUACAGUGAUAGCAAUUCCCAGCUCAGCUUGUACUUAGGUUUUGGAGCAGUCAGGCCUGCACCCAUUUGAAGCUGUCAGACCCUUCACCUCUCCAGCUGCCAUCCAAGAGCUGGGCCUGGGUUUCAAUGUGCCCAUACCAGCCAGACUCCUCCAGUCUUCCCACCUCUGAGCUUCUGAGUGGCCACACUACUGCAAGAAAAGAUUUACCUGGCCUUCACAAACCCUUGUGGAAAACUGCUGUUCAGCUCCCCUGUGCACCUGAUGUGAAGGUAGAGCGAAGCUGUACUGUUCCCUUGCAGAACCUUCAUCCUUGGCCAUCACCAUUCCUUUCAAGGAAAAAUGUGAAUGCCAACAAAGAUAUUAGGAAAAAAAAAGUACAAACUACUGUUUUCAAAAUUUUGUUAAUGUGUUUUCUUUAAAAAAUGCAGAGCUUCAUCCUUACUGCUGUUAGUAUGAAGAAGAGAAACUGAUGAAAGCCACAGUAGAUUUGCUUCAUUGGAUAACAAAAUACAUCAUUCAAAAGAGUCAAGUCCCAUGCAGACCUGUUAGGCCUCUUCAUGUCCAGUCAUUUUAAAAUGUGGGGUGGAAGUGGGACUUCUCCAGGCCUCUCAUGCCACAUGGACACCCCAUGAGGAACAUGGUUUAUUCCCCAUUAUGCCAAAGGAGACAGACCCACCCUGAGCUGGUACUGAAUUGAUAGACUCUGCUUCAGGGGUGCUCAUCAACUCUGUGUUUUGGUGGAAUAGUCAUUGGUGCAAGCAGCUCAUCGAUGAUUGAACUGUAAUUGGUGCGUGCAGCACAGAGCCAAGCUCGGCUCUGCCUCCAGCUCUUCGCUGUCAGCCAACCAUGCUGUGACCACAGGCUGGGACCAGUACCAGUCCAGAAUUGCUUGUCUUAAUCGUAGCUAUUUUAGUGGAGACUACAGCUUCCAUGGGAGUAAAUUGUCAUGAUUUGGGAAAUGCCAAACAGAAUUAACUGAAAAAAUAAAAAUCUUUUUGUUGGCAUUCCUACACCAUGAUUUUGAUGUUUGAGAAGUCUUUUCCUCUCACUUACACCCAAAAACAGCCGAUGCAUUAAAAGCACAGCUUUGCUCCAAAACAGUCCAUUCUGGAUUUGCAUAGUACUUUAUUAUUUUUAAGAGAAACUGGUUUACUUCCAAAUUAAUAUGCCAGAGGCUGAAUGAGCUAGAUUUAAAUAUAAAAUUAUUUUGAAUAGAUAUUUAACAUUAACAGCAAUCUCAUUUAUUUUAGUUAUUUUCACUUAUUUUUUUUUUUUUUAUUUUCACUUAUUUUUUCAAAGUUAAGCUAGAUCUACUGCAUAAGAAUGAGUGUUUCAUUAAUUUUUAUAAGAGUUAUAAGAAGCAUAUGUUUUAAAGCUCUACUUUGUAACAUAGAAAAGUAUAUUUUAGACAUAUUUAUUUACAUAAUAGCCACAUUAAAAGAAAUUUUCAUAUGGAAAAAUGUAGCGAUACCAAGCAACUGUUCCCAAAAAGUUUUAAAAAGUAUAUUAAUGAUAUGGAGUGAAAAGAAACAGGAAAAAAAAAUAAAAAUGAAAUUAGAGGAUGUGAUUUUUUGAAGUGUUCAAAGUGAACACAUUUCCACUCCUAUCACAAAGCCAGUGGAAGCAGAGCAGUCUACAGCAAACUAAAAGAAAUCAUGAAAAAAAAAAAAAAAAAAAAAAGUUCUUUGAAAGAAUUGAAAUAUCUCACUUGGAAAUGAGAUUUUCAUCUUGAAAAGGUGAGAAAUGUUGAUUUUAGCAUUGUCGUUCUAAUUGGUUUUGGAUCAACUAUCAUUUUGUUAAUUGCAGUAUGCGAUAUAUAUAUAAAAUAUGUAAAAUAAAUGAUCUUAUUAUAAUAUAUCAAUAACUGAAAAGCAUCAAUUUAAAUAUUUUGACAAUAUCAACACAAGAAUUGAUACAAAAUGGCCAAACCUCUUCUGAUGAGCGAUUUUGUGAAAUAUUUUAGAUUUUGACAAAAAAGCGCACUUUUCUAUGGAAAAA
Molecule: long non-coding RNA, 2132 nt
Organism: Oxyura jamaicensis (ruddy duck)
Lineage: Eukaryota; Metazoa; Chordata; Aves; Anseriformes; Anatidae
Exons: 3
Source: RefSeq, a predicted model, not a curated record